Molecule: long non-coding RNA, 740 nt
Organism: Papaver somniferum (opium poppy)
Lineage: Eukaryota; Viridiplantae; Streptophyta; Magnoliopsida; Ranunculales; Papaveraceae
Exons: 4
Source: RefSeq, a predicted model, not a curated record
UCUAAUCUCCGCGGCUAUGGAUCUCUCUCGUUUUCCUAUCUCCUUCUCCCUCACUUUCUCUGCUAAAAACUGGUAUCAUUAGAUUAAUUCAUGUAUUUCUUAUUUGUUGUUAAAUUGAAGAUUUAUUUGGGCAGCCAUUUUCUGUAGUACGAUGAUUAGCUAUUGAUCGCUUUCAUUGAUUCUAUUUUUUUGAGUUAUUUUGAAUGAAACUCUUAAUACAUCUCCAUCAAUCAGAUCAAUUCAACUAAGGCUAGCAGAUAAACCUCGAUGGGUUGCAACUUGCAAGCUUCAAUUAUUAUCACACUGUCGAUUAUAUAGGGCUUUCAUUGAUGUUUCAAAGCCAUGGGAGAAUGAACUAAUCAAUUACAGUCUUCCUCGGAAGCCGGUAUUGGAUGUCAAGCAAACAACAGAAUAAGCAGACCUCAACUCAGUUUUUAGAAAUUUUAGAAUUGACUAUGAACAAGAUCUAGUGUGAUGGUUAUACACUCCUUAGCUUGAAGGGAAAAUGGAAGGCGGAACAUAUUGACAUCCUAGGUACUAACAAGAAAGGUUGACAUUCAAAGGCCUUAAGUCCCACCUACUGCUCAAGGCAUUGACUUUAAAUUGGUGCAAUAUGAAUCAUAUAAUGCCCAAUACUUUCCCUAGUGAUGGAAUGUUUUCAUCUUUGUUUAAUCAACUUCAAGCUCCUCUGGUUUCGGGUUUGCUUGCGAUGCGUCAAUCUUGUCUACUGGUCAAAGACU